AGAGUGAACGCUGGCGGCAGGCCUAACACAUGCAAGUCGAGCGGCAGCACAGUCGUAGCAAUACGAUGGGUGGCGAGCGGCGGACGGGUGAGGAAUGCAUCGGAAUCUACCUUGUUGUGGGGGAUAACGUCGGGAAACUUACGCUAAUACCGCAUGAGACCGUAAGGUGAAAGCGGGGGACCUGUAAGGGCCUCGCGCGACAAGAUGAGCCGAUGCCGGAUUAGCUAGUUGGUGGGGUAAAGGCCCACCAAGGCGACGAUCCGUAGCUGGUCUGAGAGGAUGAUCAGCCACACUGGAACUGAGACACGGUCCAGACUCCUACGGGAGCAGCAGUGGGAAUAUUAGACAAUGGGCGCAAGCCUGAUCCAGCCAUGCCGCGUGUGUGAAGAAGGCCUUCGGUUGUAAAGCUACUUUGUUGGGAAGUAAAGUCCCGGGAUUAAGUACUUCCGUGGAGCUGACGUACCAAAGAAUAAGCACCGCUAACUCGUAGCCAGCACG
RNAcentral lists this ribosomal RNA (498 nucleotides) under uncultured soil bacterium. RNAcentral describes it as "bacterial SSU rRNA". It matches the Rfam family "Bacterial small subunit ribosomal RNA", at positions 26 to 515 of the family's 1533-position model. The record is from RNAcentral.